RNAcentral lists this ribosomal RNA (421 nucleotides) under uncultured soil bacterium. RNAcentral describes it as "bacterial SSU rRNA". It matches the Rfam family "Bacterial small subunit ribosomal RNA", at positions 26 to 452 of the family's 1533-position model. The record is from RNAcentral.
AGAACGAACGCUGGCGGCAUGCCUAAUACAUGCAAGUCGAACGAACACUUCGGUGUUAGUGGCGCACGGGUGCGUAACGCGUGGGAAUCUGCCCUUGGGUUCGGAAUAACAGUUGGAAACGACUGCUAAUACCGGAUGAUAUCGAAAGAUACAAAGAUUUAUCGCCCAGGGAUGAGCCCGCGUAGGAUUAGCUAGUUGGUGAGGUAAAGGCUCACCAAGGCGACGAUCCUUAGCUGGUCUGAGAGGAUGAUCAGCCACACUGGGACUGAGACACGGCCCAGACUCCGUACGGGAGGCAGCAGUAGGGAAUAGUUAGGACAAGUGGGCGACAAGCCUGACUCCAGACCAAUCGCCGCGUAGGAGUGAUAGGAAGGUCCGUUUAAGGGUUAGUAAAGCCUUUACCGUUUACCGAGAUGAAUAA